GAUGAACGCUGGCGGCGUGCCUAAUACAUGCAAGUCGAGCGAACAGAUAAGAAGCUUGCUCCUUUGACGUUAGCGGCGGACGGGUGAGUAACACGUGGAUAACCUACCUAUAAGACUGGGAUAACUUCGGGAAACCGGAGCUAAUACCGGAUAACAUAUUGAACCGCAUGGUUCAAUAGUGAAAGGCGGCUUUGCUGUCACUUAUAGAUGGAUCCGCGCCGUAUUAGCUAGUUGGUAAGGUAACGGCUUACCAAGGCAACGAUACGUAGCCGACCUGAGAGGGUGAUCGGCCACACUGGAACUGAGACACGGUCCAGACUCCCACGGGAGGCAGCAGUAGGGAAUCUUCCGCAAUGGGCGAAAGCCUGACGGAGCAACGCCGCGUGAGUGAUGAAGGUCUUCGGAUCGUAAAACUCUGUUAUCAGGGAAGAACAAAUGUGUAAGUAACUGUGCACAUCUUGACGGUACCUGAUCAGAAAGCCACGGCUAACUACGUG
RNAcentral lists this ribosomal RNA (497 nucleotides) under uncultured bacterium. RNAcentral describes it as "partial 16S ribosomal RNA". It matches the Rfam family "Bacterial small subunit ribosomal RNA", at positions 28 to 507 of the family's 1533-position model. The record is from RNAcentral.